GCCAGGCAUGGUGGUGUAUGCCUGUAAUCCCAGUGACUUGGGAGACUGAGACAGGAUUAUAAGUUUGAGGUCAGCCUCAGCAACUUAGUGAGACCCUGUCUCAA
This 104-nucleotide small RNA is filed under the name Marmota monax (woodchuck). Lineage: Eukaryota; Metazoa; Chordata; Mammalia; Rodentia; Sciuridae. The record is from RNAcentral.